AACGAACGCUGGCGGCAUGCCUAACACAUGCAAGUCGAACGAGACCUUCGGGUCUAGUGGCGCACGGGUGCGUAACGCGUGGGAACCUGCCCUUAGGUUCGGAAUAACUCCCCGAAAGGGGUGCUAAUACCGGAUAAUGUCUUCGGACCAAAGAUUUAUCGCCUUUGGAUGGGCCCGCGUUGGAUUAGCUAGUUGGUAGGGUAAAAGCCUACCAAGGCGACGAUCCAUAGCUGGUCUGAGAGGAUGAUCAGCCACACUGGGACUGAGACACGGCCCAGACUCCUGCGGGAGGGAGCAGUGGGGAAUAUUGGACUAUGGGCGAAAGCCUGAACCAGCAAGGCCGGGUGAGUGAUGAAGGCCUGAGGGUUGUAAAGCUCUUUUACCCGGGAUGGUAAUGACGGUACCGGGAGAAUAAGCUCCGGCUAACUCCGUG
This 433-nucleotide ribosomal RNA is filed under the name uncultured bacterium. RNAcentral's name for it is "partial 16S ribosomal RNA". It matches the Rfam family "Bacterial small subunit ribosomal RNA", at positions 29 to 507 of the family's 1533-position model. The record is from RNAcentral.